UUUUUUAUUUACGUCUGACCUGCCCACUGAUUUAUUUAAUGGCCGCGGUAUUUUGACCGUGCAAAGGUAGCAUAAUAAUUUGUCUUUUAAUUGAAGGCUUGUAUGAAUGGUUGGACGAGAAAGCAACUUUCUUUAUAAUAAAAUGAUUAAUUUUAUUUUUUAGUUAAAAAGCUAAAAUGUUGUUGUAGGACGAGAAGACCCUAUAGAACUUUAUAAUUAUUUAUAUAUUAAUAUUUUUAGUUAAUAAUAUAUUGUAUUUUUAUAAUUAUUUUGUUGGGGCGACAAGAAAAUUUAUUUAACUUUUUUUCACCAAUUUCAUUAAUUAAUGUAUAAAUGAUCCUUUAUUAAAGAUAAUUAGAAUAAGUUACCUUAGGGAUAACAGCGUAAUUUUUUUGGAGAGUUCUUAUCGAUAAAAAAGUUUGCGA
RNAcentral lists this ribosomal RNA (425 nucleotides) under Paracorixa kiritshenkoi. RNAcentral describes it as "partial large subunit ribosomal RNA". It matches the Rfam family "Archaeal large subunit ribosomal RNA", at positions 1931 to 2592 of the family's 2987-position model. Lineage: Eukaryota; Metazoa; Arthropoda; Insecta; Hemiptera; Corixidae. The record is from RNAcentral.